GAUGAACGCUAGCGGGAGGCCUAACACAUGCAAGCCGAGCGGUAUUGUUUCUUCGGAAAUGAGAGAGCGGCGUACGGGUGCGUAACACGUGUGCAACCUGCCUUUAUCUGGGGGAUAGCCUUUCGAAAGGAAGAUUAAUACUCCAUAAUAUAUUGAACGGCAGCGUUUAAUAUUGAAAGCUCCGGCGGAUAGAGAUGGGCACGCGCAAGAUUAGCUAGUUGGUGAGGUAACGGCUCACCAAGGCGAUGAUCUUUAGGGGGCCUGAGAGGGUGAUCCCCCACACUGGUACUGAGACACGGACCUGACUCCUACGGGAGGCAGCAGUGAGGAAUAUUGGUCAAUGGGUGCAAGCCUGAACCAGCCAUCCCGCGUGAAGGACGACUGCCCUAUGGGUUGUAAACUUCUUUUGUAUAGGGAUAAACCUACCCUCGAGAGGGUAGCUGAAGGUACUAUACGAAUAAGCACCGGCUAACUCCGUG
Molecule: ribosomal RNA, 479 nt
Filed under: uncultured bacterium
Lineage: Bacteria
Description: partial 16S ribosomal RNA
Rfam family: Bacterial small subunit ribosomal RNA
Source: RNAcentral